AUUGAACGCUGGCGGCAGGCCUAACACAUGCAAGUCGAGCGGUAGAGAGAAGCUUGCUUCUCUUGAGAGCGGCGGACGGGUGAGUAAUGCCUAGGAAUCUGCCUGGUAGUGGGGGAUAACGUUCGGAAACGGACGCUAAUACCGCAUACGUCCUACGGGAGAAAGCAGGGGACCUUCGGGCCUUGCGCUAUCAGAUGAGCCUAGGUCGGAUUAGCUAGUUGGUGGGGUAAUGGCUCACCAAGGCGACGAUCCGUAACUGGUCUGAGUGGAUGAUCAGUCACACUGGAACUGAGACACGGUCCAGACUCCUACGGGAGGCAGCAGUGGGGAAUAUUGGACAAUGGGCGAAAGCCUGAUCCAGCCAUGCCGCGUGUGUGAAGAAGGUCUUCGGAUUGUAAAGCACUUUAAGUUGGGAGGAAGGGCAGUAAAUUAAUACUUUGCUGUUUUGACGUUACCGACAGAAUAAGCACCGGCUAACUCUGUG
RNAcentral lists this ribosomal RNA (484 nucleotides) under uncultured bacterium. RNAcentral's name for it is "partial 16S ribosomal RNA". It matches the Rfam family "Bacterial small subunit ribosomal RNA", at positions 30 to 507 of the family's 1533-position model. The record is from RNAcentral.